Molecule: non-coding RNA, 83 nt
Organism: Dendrothele bispora CBS 962.96
Lineage: Eukaryota; Fungi; Basidiomycota; Agaricomycetes; Agaricales
Source: the annotation of a GenBank genome assembly
GGUAGUAUGGCGCAGUGGUAAAGCCAUCUUUCGAGGGUGUAAACUCCUUGCAAGAGUCCUUGGUUCAAAUCCAAGUACUGCUC